AUUGAACGCUGGCGGCAUGCCUUACACAUGCAAGUCGAACGGCAGCACGGGAGCAAUCCUGGUGGCGAGUGGCGAACGGGUGAGUAAUGUAUCGGAACGUGCCCAGUCGUGGGGGAUAACGCCGCGAAAGCUGUGCUAAUACCGCAUACGGUCUAUGGAUGAAAGCGGGGGAUCGCAAUACCUCGCGCGAUUGGAGCGGCCGAUAUCAGAGUAGGUAGUUGGUGGGGUAAAGGCCCACCAAGCCGACGAUCUGUAGCUGGUCUGAGAGGACGACCAGCCACACUGGAACUGAGACACGGUCCAGACUCCUACGGGAGGCAGCAGUGGGGAAUUUUGGACAAUGGGCGCAAGCCUGAUCCAGCAAUGCCGCGUGCAGGAUGAAGGCCUUCGGGUUGUAAACUGCUUUUGUACGGAACGAGACGGUUCUCUCUAAUACAGGGGGCUAAUGACGGUACCGUAAGAAUAAGCACCGGCUAACUACGUGCCAGCAGCCGCAGUAA
RNAcentral lists this ribosomal RNA (500 nucleotides) under uncultured bacterium. Its description in RNAcentral is "partial 16S ribosomal RNA". It matches the Rfam family "Bacterial small subunit ribosomal RNA", at positions 30 to 523 of the family's 1533-position model. The record is from RNAcentral.